This 255-nucleotide ribosomal RNA is filed under the name uncultured bacterium. RNAcentral describes it as "partial 16S ribosomal RNA". It matches the Rfam family "Bacterial small subunit ribosomal RNA", at positions 524 to 776 of the family's 1533-position model. The record is from RNAcentral.
UACGAAGGGGGCUAGCGUUGCUCGGAAUCACUGGGCGUAAAGCGCACGUAGGCGGACUCUUAAGUCAGGGGUGAAAUCCUGGAGCUCAACUCCAGAACUGCCUUUGAUACUGGGAGUCUCGAGUUCGGGGAGAGGUGAGUGGAACUGCGAGUGUAGAGGUGAAAUUCGUAGAUAUUCGCAAGAACACCAGUGGCGAAGGCGGCUCACUGGCCCCGAUACUGACGCUGAGGCACGAAAGCGUGGGGAGCAAACAGG